RNAcentral lists this microRNA precursor (196 nucleotides) under Oryza sativa Japonica Group (Japanese rice). Its description in RNAcentral is "MIR812 microRNA precursor family". It matches the Rfam family "MIR812 microRNA precursor family". Lineage: Eukaryota; Viridiplantae; Streptophyta; Magnoliopsida; Poales; Poaceae. The record is from Rfam by way of RNAcentral.
AAAAAGAUAAACCAUGAGUUUUCGUGCCAACAUUUAACUGUCCAUCUUAUAAAAAAAACUAUAAUUAGUAUUUUCAUUGUUGUUAGAUGAUAAAACAUGAUUAAUACUUUAUGCGUGACUUAUAUUUUUUUCAUAAUUUUUUCAAAUAAGACGGACGGUCAAACGUUGGACACGGAAACCAAGGUUUGUCUUUUUU